UAAAGUUGUUGCAGUUAAAAAGCUCGUAGUUGAACUUCAGACCUGGCUGGGCGGUCUGCCUAACGGUAUGUACUGUCCGGCUGGGUCUUACCUCUUGGUGAGCCGGCAUGCCCUUCACUGGGUGUGUCGGGGAACCAGGACUUUUACCUUGAGAAAAUUAGAGUGUUCAAAGCAGGCUUAUGCCCGAAUACAUUAGCAUGGAAUAAUAAAAUAGGACGUGCGGUUCUAUUUUGUUGGUUUCUAGAGUCGCCGUAAUGAUUAAUAGGGAUAGUUGGGGGCAUUAGUAUUCCGUUGCUAGAGGUGAAAUUCUUGGAUUUACGGAAGACUAACUAUUGCGAAAGCAUUUGCCAAGGAUGUUUUCAUUAAUCAAGAACGAAGGUUAGGGGAUCGAAAACGAUCAGAUACCGUUGUAGUCUUAACAGUAAACUAUGCCGACUAGGGAUCGGGCGAACUCAGUUUGAUGUGUCGCUCGGCACCUUACGAGAAAUCAAAGUCUUUGGGUCCCGCGGGAAGUAUGGCGCAAGGCUGAAACUUAAAGGAUUGACGGAAGGGCACCACCAGGUUGGAGCCUGCGGCUAAAUGUGACUCAACACGGGGAAACUCCACCAGGUCCAGACAUGACUAGGAUUGACAGAUUGAUAGCUCUCUCAUGAUUUUAUGGGUGCUGGUGCAUGGCCGUUCUUAGUUGGUGGAGUGAUUUGUCUGGUUAAUUCCGAUAACGAACGAGACCUUAACCUGCUAAAUAGCCAGGCCGGCUUUUGCUGGUCGCCGGCUUCUUAGAGGGACUGUCUGCGUCUAGCAGACGGAAGUUUGAGGCAAUAACAGGUCUGUGAUGCCCUUAGAUGUUCUGGGCCGCACGCGCGCUACACUGACAGAGCCAGCGAGCUUUUUUCCUUGGCCGGAAGGUCUGGGUAAUCUUGUGAAACUCUGUCGCGCUGGGGAUAGAGCAUUGCAAUUAUUGCUCUUCAACGAGGAAUACCUAGUAAGCGUGAGUCAUC
Molecule: ribosomal RNA, 998 nt
Filed under: uncultured eukaryote
Lineage: Eukaryota
Description: SSU rRNA
Rfam family: Eukaryotic small subunit ribosomal RNA
Source: RNAcentral